RNAcentral lists this ribosomal RNA (568 nucleotides) under uncultured bacterium. RNAcentral describes it as "bacterial SSU rRNA". It matches the Rfam family "Bacterial small subunit ribosomal RNA", at positions 935 to 1503 of the family's 1533-position model. The record is from RNAcentral.
GAUGAUGUGGUUUAAUUCGAUGCAACGCGAAAAACCUUACCCACCUUUGACAUGGCAGGAACUUACCAGAGAUGGUUUGGUGCUCGAAAGAGAACCUGCACACAGGUGCUGCAUGGCUGUCGUCAGCUCGUGUCGUGAGAUGUUGGGUUAAGUCCCGCAACGAGCGCAACCCUUGCCAUUAGUUGCUACNUUCAGUUGAGCACUCUAAUGGGACUGCCGGUGACAAACCGGAGGAAGGUGGGGAUGACGUCAAGUCCUCAUGGCCCUUAUAGGUGGGGCUACACACGUCAUACAAUGGCUGGUACAAAGGGUUGCCAACCCGCGAGGGGGAGCUAAUCCCAUAAAGCCAGUCGUAGUCCGGAUCGCAGUCUGCAACUCGACUGCGUGAAGUCGGAAUCGCUAGUAAUCGUGGAUCAGAAUGUCACGGUGAAUACGUUCCCGGGUCUUGUACACACCGCCCGUCACACCAUGGGAGCGGGUCUCGCCAGAAGUAGGUAGCCUAACCGCAAGGAGGGCGCUUACCACGGCGGGGUUCGUGACUGGGGUGAAGUCGUAACAAGGUAGCCGU